RNAcentral lists this transfer RNA (57 nucleotides) under Asymmetron inferum. RNAcentral's name for it is "tRNA-Cys". The record is from RNAcentral. Lineage: Eukaryota; Metazoa; Chordata; Leptocardii; Amphioxiformes; Branchiostomatidae.
GGCUUAUAAAUGCUCUGGUUGCAACCCGGAGAAAGAAAGUUAUACUUUCUAAAGCCU